CAGUCGCCGCGGUAAUACGGAGGGUGCAAGCGUUAAUCGGAAUUACUGGGCGUAAAGCGCGCGCAGGCGGUCUGUCAAGUCAGAUGUGAAAUCCCCGGGCUUAACCUGGGAACUGCAUUUGAAACUGGCAGGCUAGAGUCUUGUAGAGGGGGGUAGAAUUCCAGGUGUAGCGGUGAAAUGCGUAGAGAUCUGGAGGAAUACCGGUGGCGGAGGCAGCCCCCUGGGCCAACACUGACGCUGAGGCGCGAAAGCGUGGGGAGCAAACAGGAUUAGAUACCCCUGUAGUCCCUGUCUCUUAUAA
This 301-nucleotide ribosomal RNA is filed under the name uncultured bacterium. RNAcentral's name for it is "partial 16S ribosomal RNA". It matches the Rfam family "Bacterial small subunit ribosomal RNA", at positions 509 to 809 of the family's 1533-position model. The record is from RNAcentral.